Long non-coding RNA from Oreochromis niloticus (Nile tilapia), 730 nucleotides. RefSeq lists it as uncharacterized. The record is from RefSeq and is a predicted model, not a curated record. Lineage: Eukaryota; Metazoa; Chordata; Actinopteri; Cichliformes; Cichlidae. The transcript has 4 exons.
ACAGAGGGAAGUCACCUCCCGUGGGUAUUGAUUUUUCUCUCUGUGAAUGUUAAAUGUUUAUUAAAAGGCUUGAGCAGCGACAGAAAAGAAAGGCAGAAUGGCCUGAGGUGAUAUCCUCUUCCCUCGCUGAGAACGCCUCCCCCUCCACUCUCUCCUCUUGAGCGAACACAGAUUGACUUCAGGACAGCCCAGAUCCGCCUUUUCCUAUCUGUCUCCGGGGCACAGCCCACUUUCCUAACUGCCCCGAUGUCCCUCUUCUCUCGUCCACGCACAGCCUUGAUUGCCUUCUCACAGCCCAGUGCCUCUGAAUGCCAGAACCGCGGGAAAUCCAUAAGGCUGCAUUUGUGCAUAAGGAAGGCUGUAAGUGGAUGAGUCAAGCAAACAGGAAGUCAUGUAAACAUGCAGAUAAUCUUCACGGGGAUGAACAUGACAAGCAGUGAAAAGACAAAACAAAUCUCCCUGUCUGUCAGCUGCAUGUGCGAGUAUGCUAAUUGCCUCCAGGCAACAGAUGAGGUGGCACACUGUGAUUAUAAUCACAGAUAAGUUGGAGAUUUUCAUAUUUUGUAGACAGAGUCCCGCCAGCUUGACCUUUGAGUUGUUUUCAUGGGACUUUCCUGCGUGUGAUCAAUACAGCAGCAGCCCUCCUGAGGAUCAGGCCCAGUGCUCAGAAUUUUUCAUUUCUUUCACAGUUCUGCUGUUAUUGUGCAUCAUUGCAGCAAUGAUAACCUUA